This 253-nucleotide ribosomal RNA is filed under the name uncultured bacterium. RNAcentral describes it as "partial 16S ribosomal RNA". It matches the Rfam family "Bacterial small subunit ribosomal RNA", at positions 524 to 776 of the family's 1533-position model. The record is from RNAcentral.
UACAGAGGGUGCGAGCGUUGUUCGGAAUUAUUGGGCGUAAAGAGCGCGCAGGCGGUCUGCCAAGUCAGAUGUGAAAGAGGCCGGCUUAACCGGCAAGGGUCAUUUGAAACUGACAGACUAGAGUGCAGCAGAGGAUAGCGGAAUUCCCGGUGUAGUGGUGAAAUGCGUAGAUAUCGGGAGGAACACCAGUGGCGAAGGCGGCUAUCUGGGCUGCAACUGACGCUGAGGCACGAAAGCCAGGGGAGCAAACGGG